This 787-nucleotide non-coding RNA is filed under the name Tegra novaehollandiae viridinotata. Lineage: Eukaryota; Metazoa; Arthropoda; Insecta; Orthoptera; Tettigoniidae. The record is from RNAcentral.
AAUUUGAUUCUGGUUUAUUAUUUCAUUAAUUAAACAUUUUACAUGUAAAUUUUGUUGUGAAUCAAUAGUUAAUCUUAAAGGUAUUUUGAUUAUUCGCAGUAAAAAGGAUUAAUUAUUAGGGUAACCUAGAAUUGGUGAUUUAAUUUAACAUUGGCUAAAUUCGUGCCAGCCGCCGCGGUUAUACGUGGAAUGUAAGUGAAUUAUUUUAGUUGAAAGUUGAUUUAUGAGUAUAUUAAAGUUAAAUUUAUUUUUGAAGGUGGAAUUUGUAUAAUUUGAAUAACUUUAUAUUAAAUUUAAUGAGGCUUUGAAAUUUUAAUAAUAGACUAGGAUUAGAUACCCUAUUAUAUAAAGACUAAAAUUUGAGAAGCUAGGGUAGUAGUAGUUAAGGUCUUGAAACCCAAAGAAUUUGGCGGUGUUUUAGUCUAGUCAGAGGAAUUUGCCCCGUAACUGAUAAUACGCGUUUUAAUAGACUUAGUUUUGAAUUUCAGUAUGUAUACCGCCGUCAUAAGAAUAUCUUUGGAGAGAAAAAUUUUCUUGAUAUUUAUUUUGGAAUAGUAUGUCAGGUCGAGGUGCAGCUUAUAACUAAGUGGAGGUGAAUUACAAUAAAAUAAUUUAAACGGAUUUUUUCUUGUAAUAUGUUAAAUGAAGGUGGAUUUGAAAGUAAUAUUAUUUUAAUAUAAUAAUAUGAUUUUAGCUCUAAAACAUGUACACAUCGCCCGUCGCUCUCGCUAUAAGGUGAGAUAAGUCGUAACAAAGUAGGCGUACUGGAAAGUGUGCCUAGAAAGAU